UGUCUUGCCCAAGUCCGUCCUGCCGCUGGCGUGGGCCUCAGGAUUCCGUGUGUCCCCAAAGCCCAGCUGAGCCACGCUUCCUGCCCGGCUCUGAGAAGAAUGCCUGUCAGGAAGCUCAAUUAUUUCGAGAAUGUGAAAUACAGUAUUUUAAUGGAGCCAUUUUUCACGUCACUCUAGAAGAAAGGAUGUAGCGUUUGUUGUGGUCUAUCUGCAAAUGAGUCUUGUUCACACCGGGGCACCUUCCUGGUGUCGACACCGCGACCUCCUGGUGCUUUUCUCUCCACAAAGCAAGUCUGGCCGCGGCGUAGGCCCCGCAGGUGCCGUCCAGGGAACCGGGGCAGGGCUGGCAGCGGAGGGCCCGGCCGUGGACCCCAUCCCGCGGCUCCGGGGCGAGCCACGCUCCAGUAGGACGUCACGCAGCGGGUGGAAUUUCUGUCUAGGGACCGCGCCUGGUCUUACGGGGAGACCACGACGUCAGCGGCAGGCAGGAGACACCGGUGCCCCUCGUGCUACUGGCCUUCCACCAAGCCGAUAAGGAUUCCACAGCCAUCCACAGCACUGCUCUGGCAGGAAUGCACUAGUCCAUUUAUACAGCUGCCCAGCGUUGAUAACCGGCCGGUUGCUUGUCCACACUGACUCACAUUGGAUCGAAGGCCCUCAUUACCCUCACUGGUUUAAUGAUAUUCUCUGAUUAAACUUGGCCAGCUGGCCAGCCUAGAGGGAGCCUCUGUGGACUUUUCCUAUAUCUCUCUGGGUAGGGACUGACCUGCUGCUCCAGCCUCUUUUGAAAGAAUCCUGUUCAUAUUUGCUUUCCUCCUUUAUAGAGACGACAAACAAGUGGAUCGAAAGUACAACUCAUUUUCCAAAUUCAUCUCAUAAAUAUGACACAACAUUAAAAACACACCAAAAAGACUGAGGAAUUUAAAACGAGGGAGAUUAUGGUGUAGAAGACUGGACUGGGAGUCAGGGCACCCGCGUUCAAGACCCAACUCUUGGAUUCAUAGACCAUGUGAUUUUACCAUUUACCUCUCUGAAUUUCAGAACUGUCAUCUCCAGAAAUAAAAUCCUAUUUAUGACAAAAAAAAUCCUGUUUAUGUCAUUAGUGCAUCAAACAAAAGAAAUCAGGUGAAGUUCCACUGAAUUGGAGGAUCACUUUAGGUUAUGUUAGUAACAUUAGCUCCGUGAGGAGCACCUCAAAGAAAUCAUUGUACCCAUCAGGAUAGUCCUGGGGAUGACUUGGUAACAAGUUCUUCCCCAACCUCAGAGACUUAAUAUAACCCAAACUUCUUUCUUACACUGUAUAUUUGUAGGAUUGGUAUGGCCCUGCUUCACCUUGUCUUUACUCCAUGACCUGGGUGGAGAAUAAAGCCCCUGUGUGGGACAUUGCUGGUCUUACGGAAGAAGGAACAGAGAUGGCAAGCUACAUCCUGGGUGUUAGAGCUUCUCAGUGGCCAAAAUAAAUCAUGCGACCAUGCCUGUCAUUACUGGGGAAGGAGGUGCCAUCCUCCUGCUGGAGGAGCAUCACACGAGGGGCUGUGAGAUGUCUGGCCACCAGCAGCACGGUCUAUAGCAGAACUCAUCCUCCAAAGCAUCUGGGAAAAAAAAAGCUAAAAAAAAAAAAAAAAAAAAAAAAAAGCUUGGUGAUAGGCCUUUGGGCCCAUCUAUGUGGAAGUAUUUUCUCAAUGUUAAGUCACCAUAAAGCCGUAAACAGAUUAAUCAAUCAAGUAUGAGCUCCGACUGUUAAUCUGUAGUCCAGCUACUUCUCACAUGGCUCUGCAGUGUGUUCCAGACCAGCAGCAGCAGGGAAGCACUGAUUUAAUGAUUGAAGGUUCUCCAAACAACACUGGGGAGGCCGGCUAGGCUCCUAGGUGGGGAGCAAAAUACUCAUUCUGCUGAUUUCACAGGCUUUCUGGGGGUUGAAUAUGAUGUCAUGUGUAACAAGACCAUGUCGCUGCCAGCAGGAGCUCCUGAGGAGUAGGGAGUAGAGUUUACUCCCCUUGGGAUCCCCAGCGCCUAGCCCAGGGAGCAUGUAGUAGAAUCUAAAUGAAUGCUGAUGAGAUGAAUGACUAAAUGAGGACACAUGCAAGGAAAUUGAGUUAGGGUAAGAAAAAAAAAGCCCAAAUCUAUAUUUGAAAAUGAUGGUUAAACUCUUCUUAUGGAGUCAGCAUAACCUUAAUUGAGAAAAAUGAUCAAGGUGGAAACAUUACAAACCAACACUUCUCAUGAAAAUGAAUCCAAUAGCCUUAAACAAGGAGCUUUACUCAUGGUAAUGCAGUAGCUCGUAUUGGGCCAACGCUCCUGAAGCAACAAUUAUACACUCUGAAGAAAAUAUUUAAAAGAAUAAUAGUCGAAGACACCUAAGAGCAGAUAGAAGCUGGAGGAGGAUUCACGUUUAGAAGAAAGGGGUGGUGCAAGGUUUCAGGCAUCUGGAAGGCAAGGAUGGCUCGAGCAUCUCUGCGUCCUCUUCACAAGACACAGGCCAGCCCAGACGAGGCAUGCGACAAAGAGCUGUCACACCACAUGAAUGCAGAAGCAAGAGCC
Long non-coding RNA from Canis lupus familiaris (dog), 2541 nucleotides. RefSeq lists it as uncharacterized. The record is from RefSeq and is a predicted model, not a curated record. NCBI's taxonomy places the organism in Eukaryota, Metazoa, Chordata, Mammalia, Carnivora, Canidae. The transcript is spliced from 3 exons.